AGAUUGAACGCUGGCGGCAUGCUUUACACAUGCAAGUCGAACGGUAACAGGCCGCAAGGUGCUGACGAGUGGCGAACGGGUGAGUAAUGCAUCGGAACGUGCCCAGUCGUGGGGGAUAACGCAGCGAAAGCUGUGCUAAUACCGCAUACGAUCUAUGGAUGAAAGGCGGGGACCGAAAGGCCUCGCGCGAUUGGGAGCGGCCGAUGUCAGAUUAGCGUUAGGUUGGGUAGGGGUAAACGCCCGAACGAAGGCGACGAUUCGUGUAGCGUGGUCGUAGGAGACGGACGACCAGCCAC
RNAcentral lists this ribosomal RNA (296 nucleotides) under uncultured soil bacterium. RNAcentral describes it as "partial 16S ribosomal RNA". It matches the Rfam family "Bacterial small subunit ribosomal RNA", at positions 26 to 311 of the family's 1533-position model. The record is from RNAcentral.